UCACUCAAGCCCUUUUGUUGC
Molecule: unclassified non-coding RNA, 21 nt
Filed under: Chlamydomonas reinhardtii
Lineage: Eukaryota; Viridiplantae; Chlorophyta; Chlorophyceae; Chlamydomonadales; Chlamydomonadaceae
Description: small RNA Cre_2479
Source: RNAcentral